UUUGAUGAAGAUGCCUUUGUAACCUGGGUGAACAGGCACAAAAGUAACAUCUUAAAACAUUUUCCUGUUUCCGAAGAUGAUUCAGAAGAGGAUACAAGUUCGGAAACUGAUGACUAACUGCAAUAUAGGACAAUGGGUACUAGAAUGUAUGUGACAUUUAUAAUACUUAAGCACAAUAUUUGACAAAGCCAAACAUAUGGACAAACAGACUACUGCACAGUAUACAGUAUUCCCACCUUAAUGUACCCUGGAUUACAGAGCCUUCGACAGUAAAUAAUAUGUCUG
This is a non-coding RNA of Paramuricea clavata, 285 nucleotides long. Lineage: Eukaryota; Metazoa; Cnidaria; Anthozoa; Malacalcyonacea; Plexauridae. The record is from the annotation of a GenBank genome assembly.